CUGGGUUCCCAAAAGCUGUUUUGAAAAUCUUCAGGUGAAUGUCCUCAUGACACCACCACUGAAGAAUCUGAACCUCAGAUCAAAUUCCUCAGGAGGGCCGAAGUCUUCAAGAGGAUCAAAAUCCUCAACUGGUCAAAACUAUGCUCGUACCCAUGCUAAUGCGUCUAACAUGCAUGGAAACUACAAGGACUAUGAAUAUGAGCGUUACUCC
Molecule: long non-coding RNA, 211 nt
Filed under: Hordeum vulgare
Lineage: Eukaryota; Viridiplantae; Streptophyta; Magnoliopsida; Poales; Poaceae
Description: long non-coding RNA (HVUL_LNC007098)
Source: RNAcentral